GCCGGAGUGGUGGAACUGGUAGACACAGGGGACUUAAAAUCCCCCGGCUAUUGCAGCUGUACGGGUUCAAGUCCCGUCUCCGGCA
This 85-nucleotide transfer RNA is filed under the name Alkalispirochaeta alkalica. Its description in RNAcentral is "tRNA-Leu". It matches the Rfam family "tRNA". From Rfam's summary of the family: Transfer RNA (tRNA) molecules are approximately 80 nucleotides in length. Their secondary structure includes four short double-helical elements and three loops (D, anti-codon, and T loops). RNAcentral also lists the same sequence under 1 other name. The record is from RNAcentral. Lineage: Bacteria; Pseudomonadati; Spirochaetota; Spirochaetia; Spirochaetales; Spirochaetaceae.